This 400-nucleotide ribosomal RNA is filed under the name uncultured bacterium. Its description in RNAcentral is "partial 16S ribosomal RNA". It matches the Rfam family "Bacterial small subunit ribosomal RNA", at positions 361 to 776 of the family's 1533-position model. The record is from RNAcentral.
AUAUUGCACAAUGGGCGCAAGCCUGAUGCAGCGACGCCGCGUGAAGGAUGAAGGUCUUCGGAUUGUAAACUUCUAUCAGCAGGGAAGAAUAAAUGACGGUACCUGACUAAGAAGCCCCGGCUAACUACGUGCCAGCAGCCGCGGUAAUACGUAGGGGGCGAGCGUUAUCCGGAAUUACUGGGUGUAAAGGGUGUGUAGGCGGGAUCGCAAGUCAGUGGUGAAACCCGUGGGCUCAACCCACGGCCUGCCAUUGAAACUGCGGUUCUUGAGAAUGGGAGAGGUAAACGGAAUUCCCGGUGUAGCGGUGAAAUGCGUAGAUAUCGGGAGGAACAUCGGUGGCGAAGGCGGUUUACUGGACCAUAACUGACGCUGAGACACGAAAGCGUGGGGAGCAAACAGG